UCAGCAAUAGUGACUGGGAUUGGUGUCU
RNAcentral lists this non-coding RNA (28 nucleotides) under Rattus norvegicus (Norway rat). Lineage: Eukaryota; Metazoa; Chordata; Mammalia; Rodentia; Muridae. The record is from RNAcentral.